This 456-nucleotide ribosomal RNA is filed under the name uncultured bacterium. Its description in RNAcentral is "bacterial SSU rRNA". It matches the Rfam family "Bacterial small subunit ribosomal RNA", at positions 28 to 497 of the family's 1533-position model. The record is from RNAcentral.
GACGAACGCUGGCGGCGCGCCUAACACAUGCAAGUCGAACGAGAGAUGAGGAGCUUGCUUCCUCAAUCGAGUGGCGAACGGGUGAGUAACGCGUGAGGAACCUGCCUCAAAGAGGGGGACAACAGUUGGAAACGACUGCUAAUACCGCAUAAGCCCACAGCUCGGCAUCGAGCAGAGGGAAAAGGAGCAAUCCGCUUUGAGAUGGCCUCGCGUCCGAUUAGCUAGUUGGUGAGGUAACGGCCCACCAAGGCGACGAUCGGUAGCCGGACUGAGAGGUUGAACGGCCACAUUGGGACUGAGACACGGCCCAGACUCCUACGGGAGGCAGCAGUGGGGAAUAUUGCACAAUGGGGGAAACCCUGAUGCAGCGACGCCGCGUGGAGGAAGAAGGUCUUCGGAUUGUAAACUCCUGUUGUUGAGGAAGAUAAUGACGGUACUCAACAAGGAAGUGACGGC